GACGAACCGUGCGAACGUUGUUCGGAAUCACUGGGCCUAAAGGGCGCGUAGGCGGGCCGGCCAGUCUGUGGUGAAAUCCCCCGGCUCAACCGGGGAAUUGCCGUGGAUACUGCCGGCCUCGAGGAGGGUAGGGGCACCUGGAACUAGCGGUGGAGCGGUGAAAUGCGUUGAUAUCGCUAGGAACUCCGGUGGCGAAGGCGAGGUGCUGGACCCUUUCUGACGCUGAGGCGCGAAAGCCAGGGGAGCAAACGGG
Molecule: ribosomal RNA, 253 nt
Filed under: uncultured bacterium
Lineage: Bacteria
Description: partial 16S ribosomal RNA
Rfam family: Bacterial small subunit ribosomal RNA
Source: RNAcentral